Non-coding RNA from Schizosaccharomyces pombe (fission yeast), 477 nucleotides. Lineage: Eukaryota; Fungi; Ascomycota; Schizosaccharomycetes; Schizosaccharomycetales; Schizosaccharomycetaceae. The record is from the annotation of a GenBank genome assembly.
UAAGCUUCCCACACCGUAGCUUGAUACCGGAUUGGAAGACAUUAGAAUUGUAUAAUAGUUGUCACCAAGGUCGUCCAUUUUCUCAUCUUGUAAACGUAAAAACUUCAUGUCAAUUGAAGGAGUUAAGCUGCCAGAUUUUGGAGUGGAACAAUCUGAUCCUUUGUCAAGCUCUAAACAUUCUACACUUAAUAGGUUUUUAGACUUUGAAUCGUCGAAAUCCAAUUUUGCGCAAUUUUGUCGCAAAGAUUUAUGAACAUCAUUAGCGUUAACUUCAUUAAAUUCAUUUGAAUUGACCAAUUGAAAAGUCUGAGACUGUUUAGUUAUUGCUUCGUCAACAGUAUUACCAUCCGAAGAAACAGAAUAUCUAGUAACCAGCUCUUCUUCAGGUUCCAAUGGUAAAGUAUUGCUCGUAGGUCGAGGAGGAAGCUGAAAUUUGAACCGAGGAGGCUGCUUGCUAUUAGACUUAUUAAUUGAAUG